RNAcentral lists this ribosomal RNA (463 nucleotides) under uncultured bacterium. RNAcentral's name for it is "bacterial SSU rRNA". It matches the Rfam family "Bacterial small subunit ribosomal RNA", at positions 331 to 792 of the family's 1533-position model. The record is from RNAcentral.
CCAGACUCCUACGGGAGGCAGCAGUGAGGAAUAUUGGUCAAUGGUCGGGAGACUGAACCAGCCAAGCCGCGUGAGGGAUGAAGGUACAGAGUAUCGUAAACCUCUUUUGUCAGGGAACAAAGGCGGGGACGUGUCCCCGGAUGAGUGUACCUGAAGAAAAAGCAUCGGCUAACUCCGUGCCAGCAGCCGCGGUAAUACGGAGGAUGCGAGCGUUAUCCGGAUUUAUUGGGUUUAAAGGGUGCGUAGGCGGACGCUUAAGUCAGCGGUAAAUUUGCGGGGCUCAACCUCGUGGAGCCGUUGAAACUGGGUGCCUUGAGUGGGCGAGAAGUACGCGGAAUGCGUGGUGUAGCGGUGAAAUGCAUAGAUAUCACGAAGAACCCCGAUUGCGAAGGCAGCUUACUAAACUGUGACUGACAUUGAUGCUCGAAAGUGUGGGUAUCAAACAGGAUUAGAUACCCUCGUA